UACGUAGGGUGCGAGCGUUAAUCGGAAUUACUGGGCGUAAAGCGUGCGCAGGCGGUGAUGUAAGACAGGUGUGAAAUCCCCGGGCUUAACCUGGGAACUGCAUUUGUGACUGCAUCGCUGGAGUGCGGCAGAGGGGGAUGGAAUUCCGCGUGUAGCAGUGAAAUGCGUAGAUAUGCGGAGGAACACCGAUGGCGAAGGCAGCCCCCUGGGUUAACACUGACGCUCAGGCACGAAAGCGUGGGGAGCAAACAGG
This 253-nucleotide ribosomal RNA is filed under the name uncultured bacterium. RNAcentral's name for it is "partial 16S ribosomal RNA". It matches the Rfam family "Bacterial small subunit ribosomal RNA", at positions 524 to 776 of the family's 1533-position model. The record is from RNAcentral.